RNAcentral lists this ribosomal RNA (510 nucleotides) under uncultured bacterium. RNAcentral's name for it is "bacterial SSU rRNA". It matches the Rfam family "Bacterial small subunit ribosomal RNA", at positions 263 to 765 of the family's 1533-position model. The record is from RNAcentral.
ACCCACCAAGGCGACGAUCCGUAGCUGGUCUGAGAGGAUGAUCAGCCACACUGGAACUGAGACACGGUCCAGACUCCUACGGGAGGCAGCAGUAGGGAAUAUUGGACAAUGGGCGCAAGCCUGAUCCAGCCAUGCCGCGUGAGUGAAGAAGGCCUUCGGGUUGUAAAGCUCUUUUGUCCGGAAAGAAAAGCAUCCAGUUAAUACCUGGGUGUCCUGACGGUACCGGAAGAAUAAGCACCGGCUAACUUCGUGCCAGCAGCCGCGGUAAUACGAAGGGUGCAAGCGUUACUCGGAAUUACUGGGCGUAAAGCGUGCGUAGGUGGUUUGUUAAGUCUGAUGUGAAAGCCCUGGGCUCAACCUGGGAAUGGCAUUGGAUACUGGCAGGCUAGAGUGCGGUAGAGGGUAGUGGAAUUCCCGGUGUAGCAGUGAAAUGCGUAGAGAUCGGGAGGAACAUCUGUGGCGAAGGCGACUACCUGGACCAGCACUGACACUGAGGCACGAAAGCGUGGG